Equus caballus (horse) is the source of this 5661-nucleotide long non-coding RNA. The record is from Ensembl. Lineage: Eukaryota; Metazoa; Chordata; Mammalia; Perissodactyla; Equidae.
GGUCCAUCUGUUUAAAGAUGCAACAAGAUGAAAACAUGUCCUCCAUCUGCCACUCUCGCUUUUUUGUUGAACGAGCUGGGAUCCUGCAGAUGAGUGAGUGCUGUCUCCUGCCCGCUGGGACUGGUCUAGACCUGCUCCCAGCGCCAGUCCUACCACGUGCUAUUCCAGCAGGCAAGAAUCAGAGGCUUUGAAACUGUUCUUCUUGCAGAAGAACCCUCACCUGUGAUCUUGGAAGAAAAAGUUUUAAGAAACGAACAAAUUAUUAAUUUGGAAGCCAUCCUGGAGUUCUGAAAACUAAAAUCUGCUCUUUGAAAGACACUACAGGGAAAAUAUGUUUAAAUACUCAACUAAUAAGUAAUUCUAUUCCAUAAGUACCUUCUAGUCAUGGUAGAUAUUUACGAAUAGGUUGAACAAGAAAAAAUUAAGGUCAAUUCUUCUUGACCUGAGAAGCCUGAAAAAAAGUAGACAGUCUCAAACUUACUUCCUUUUACUCAGGGGAAAGGCAAUCUCGAGAUACAACAGUCUGGUUUCCAAGAGGGACCUGGAGAAGAGAGAAUGCAGGCAGCAGUGGCUGAAACAGAGCUGUCACCUACAGUUUGAAUAAUUUUAACACUAAUAUCAUUUACGUACAUUCAAGUGAACUCUUUUCUUUGUGCCCAGAUGGUGUAUUGACAUAACUGCUUUAAUGAAAAGAUCUUUUGACAACAAACGCGUUUUAGUUUUUGAAAGAGGAAGCAUUCCUUGUUGGGCUUAAUUGAUGAGGUUUAAAUAUCCUCUUUUUUCUAGGAAAUCUAGCUCUCUAACUCCUCUCGUGUUGUUAAUGCCCAGGGUGUAGGGAGCAAUGGACUGAGAGUGCCCACAUCCCCCAGGGCCUCACAGAACCAUCUCAUCGGGGGUCUGCUCCCUCUGUACCUCCACCUCCGCAUCUGUUUUGUGGGUAUCUUCCCAUAGCAGGCACUUUCCUCCUGUUCCUGAGGAGGUUGUAAGCCCGGAGAGACAAGGUGAGUGAGCAUGCCUUACCUGGAACGUGCUACUGCUUCAGUCCUUCCUCUGAUUUCCCCCAGCCCCAGCUCAGGUCGGGGCAGGGUCGACAGCUGGCCAAGAAUAUAAAACUGGCUGUUUGAACCAAUGGCUCUUUCAUGAGCUUAGCCAGGUGUCUGGUGUUGGGCCACAGUCAGUAUAUUCAUCUUUAGAGGCCAGAAGUCCAAGUUGCCUUCUGAGGUUGGUGGAAAGGAGGAGGAGAGGUGAAGAUGACCUCCUUCCCAGAAGGUGGAACCGAGGAUGACCGUCUACUAGCAGCACCCGGGGGACUAGCUCUGCGUCCUGGAACUUCCUUCUCUCAACAGGAAGUGAUGGACUGAAUAACACUUAACGCAAAGUGGGAAGCGGUCCUCCGAGUACAUGCCAGAAUGGUUAUAGACAGAGGGCUAAAGUAGUUGGAAGAAAAUUCUUGUUGAAAUAUUCCCGUCUGUAUUUUAGACAGAUUUCACCUCUGAGGAUAAAAUGAUGUAUUAUAGCAACAACAGCCUAAAUUAAUAAAAGCACAGGAAAAGACUUUAAUAGAAACUGGAAACUUCUGUAACUUUUGCCCAACCCAGAACUUUGGGAGAUGUUAGAUGAGACAUCAGCUACAGAACCUAGAACUGAGAGCAUUUCCCAGGACGUUAGUAACAGGUUUAGCUAAAUAGGACUACGAUUCCUGCUCUCAUAGCUCCUCACUGUUUGCAAAGACAAAUAAUCACCCAGACUACAGAGACCAACACACAACAAAAAGGGAAAUUUAAUCAAUAUUUAAUAAACAUUUUUGAUGCUAAUGAUAACAAUAAGUGUUUUACAUAUUUGAAUCAGUAUGGCAAAAUACCUAUAGGCCUGUAUCAGCCGUGAGAUUACUGGUUUAACGUCCAAAGAAAAAUAAUACUUCAUACCAAUGUGUAUAAACACAUAGGGCUGUCACGCUCUGCACAUGUGGCCACAUAUCAGACUUUGUGCUUUUAAGCACAACCUGAUAUAUUUGAGCUUUACAAAAAACUGUAAGGAAAUGUGUUAUUCCAAGUGUAUGGAUAAAUAAAUUAGAAAGUGGAGUUUUAAAAGAAAAUGUUGAUUGAAUAUAGGGAAAUGAUUUGCCUAAAGUAACACAAUUCAGUGGUUGAGCUGAAAUGAGGAGACCAGUCUCUAGGCUUCCAGUUCACUGUGCCACCUGCAGAGCAGUGGGGGUGCCUCAAAGCUCUCUUCUGAGAGCCUUCACAGGCAGGUGGGGCCUGAAGGAAAUGUGGUCCUCCUGCCUCCCCGCUCUAUCUCAUCCUUCGUCUGCUGUCCUGAGAUUCGAAGGCUGGGAGGGUUAUGAGGUUUCAUUUGAGACAGCUAUUUGGCUUCCCCUAACUCCCUGAUGAGGGAAACCACGGAAGAUGUGUUUCUGCAGAGUGAUGACACUGGUCAUUGUGGGUGAGAUGAAGAAGAAUUUUAUCACUCUAAUGAUUGAGAAUUGUUUGCAAAUGAUGAUGUAUACGCAUCCAUAAUCAGGAAUGGACAAGAGAAAUGGUGUGAGAAGAGAGAGGGAACAGGGAGGAAGAGAUGCUCCACAGAGUGGAAAAGAGCAAGAGGAGGAAUGAUUGGGAAAUAAAUACAUGUCGCUUAGUGGUUUCCAGACAUUGAAUGAGUAUAAUUCUGAUAACUCUUUCAAUAAAUAUAUUUAUUCUCUCUAAUACAUCCUUUUAAAAGUUUUAAAAAUUGUGGUAAAAUACAAAUGACAAAAGUUUCCAUCCUCAUCAUUUUAAGCCGUAUAGUUCAGUGGCGAUAAGUGUAUUCAGAUUGUUGUGCAACCAUCACCACCAUCCAUCUCCAGAACUCUUUUCAUCUUGCAAAACUGAAACUCCGUAUCCGCUAAACGCUAACUCCCCAUUGCCUCCUGCCCCAGCCCCUGGCAACCACCAUCUACUUUCUGUCUCAAGGAAUUUGACCACUCUAUACCUCAUAUAGAUGGAAUCAUACACUAUUUGUUCUUUUGUGUCUGGCUUAUUUCACUUAGCAUAAUGUCCUCAAGGUUCAUCCAUGUUGUAGCAUUUGUCAGAAUUCUCUUUUUAAGGCUGAAUAAUAAGAAUUCCAUUGUAUAUAUACCACAUUUUGUUUAUGCAUUCAUCUGUCAAUGAACAUUUGGGUUGCUUCCACCUUUUGGCUUUGUCAAUUAUGCUGCUAUGAACACGGGUGUACUCAUAUCUGUCAAGUCCCUGUUUUCCAUUCUUUUGGGUAUAUACCCAGAAGUAGAAUUGCUGGAUCAUAUGGUAAUUCUAUUUUUAAAAAUUUUUAAUGGUGGUUAAAAAAAAACCCACAUAACACAAAUUUAUCAUCUUACCAAUUUCUAAGUGUACAGUUCAGUAGUAGUCAUCUAUUUUUAAUUUUUUGAGGAUCCACCAUGCUGUUUCCGUAGUCUGUAAUACGUUCUUGUGUUCCUCAUCAGCAAACGAGAUGAUACAAGAGAAGCUCUUCUGAGUAAAUUUGAAUUCAAUAAUUAUUAACUAACAAGAACAGCACCAGUGAUAAAAGUAGUACUAAUGAUGCUGGUGACAAUUUAUGGGGAACUUUCUAUGGAACCCUGUGCCGGGCACUAUAGAUGAUGUAAAGACCUGUUGGACACUCUCUUUGCCUUCACUGAGCUUAUAAUCUCCCUGGAGGGACAAACAUGGGGGCACCGAACUCGUAAUUUAAGCAGAAGCAGAAGUGCACACAGAGGUGUGCCGGAGCUGGGGCACCUGUCGGCAAGAGCCCAUCGGUGGGUGCAUCUCUUCCCAACUCCAGGUUUGGUGAUGUCACAGUCAGCCAGGGUGGGAGUGUUCAGAAGAAAGGAAUCACAAACAGUACAAGUCAGGGCUUGUUUUCCUCCCCAAAGAGCUGGUUUCUAAACAUUUACCAGCAUGCCACUGAGCACACCUAACUGAGCUCCAGGCUUUCAAGGAGAAAUGACAGUGGGAGAAGGUCUGUGGAGCACCCAUUACUCUUCUACACAUCCUCUGAAAUUCAGUCAGAAGUGCACAUUGAUGAUCCCACGUGCUGGGAUCAAAUCAAGUGAGUUAGACAACGGGCGGACCAUCUUUAAAGUGAGGGUAGCACAGCAAAACGCUGAUAAAAAUGCUGCGCUGAGGACAGGAAAAUCUCUCUAUUCCAGACAUUUUCUUGUUCAGCUCAACCUAAAUUAUCAAAAUCACUAAAACCAAACUUGUCCUUCAGAGAUUAUUGCACUAAUUGAUAAAAUAAUGUUGUAAAUGAGUUGAUUAUACAUCAAAAAAUUUUGUAAAUUGUAGUGCUAUACAAAAUCAAAAAUAUAGUAAUAAAAUAUUUGUAAAGAAAAAAGUGAGAGUCCACAAUUUCCACUAAUUUCAUUUUCUUUUUGUUUUAAUUACAUGAAUUGCCUUUAAAAUAAUUAUUGAACCAUUAAGUGUUUAUAAAAGGCAUUUGUUGUCUGAAUAAGACACUCUAGGUUUUUGUAGGUUUUGCACAAUCUUAAAUAUAAAUACAAAGAAGUCAGACUUACAUCUGUGAAAUGGGAAAGGGAUGUAUGCUUACUAUUUAUCCUCUGAUAGAGGAUUUCUAGCCAGCUGGAGCUUCCGGUGAUGUUGCUAAAACGUUCACAGUAACUACCUAUAUUUGACUUUGGCACCUUUUUAAAAGUCAAAAGAGGCAUUUGCAAGGAGCCAUAAAAAGUCGUUACAUAUGCAGAACAAUUGAAGCUCCUCAGCAUCUGGGGAAGGAAACACAUCUGUCUUCUGUCUAUUUCUUCCCUAAAUGUCUCCCUGAAUCAACUUUUAUGGGGGUAGGGGAGGUAGCAGGGUGUCGUAAAUGUCCCAUUCUGUUGGAAUCCGAGAGGUAACAAUGCCCCUGUGACUAUAAACACAAGAGGUUGCAUUCAGGAAAGAGAUGCACUCAGGGAAGCAGAGAUCUUUGUGACAGUGGCCUCGGUGUGGGCCACAGGCCAGCUAAUCACAUUACCAUGAGAGCCAAGAGGUGGCCCGCAGACAGUGAAAUAAAGAGGAAGGGAAAAGCACGACUAAUCUCGUUAAAAGGAAAGCUAAGAUGGACGCUGCUUUUACAUAGCUGCUUCAAACGCCCCGUUUUCCCAGGGCUGGGUCACCUGUGCGUCCUGGGCAGCACGGGCUGGUUUGGGAGCAUUGUUCUGUCCUGCCAAAUGCUGGGGCCUCACAGCUCACUCAGACCUUGUCUUCAGAGUAUUCUUUUUAAGAACAAACGGAUAUUCCCCCAGCCGCCCCCGAAAAAAUGCCUUUUGGAGACACUGUUUUCCUUCAUUUUCCUAUUUUCAUUUACUAUUUCCCAAAUUAUCUAAAAGAACUAAAUCCUCCAAUGACUUGAACAGAAAGUCAAGCGCUGCGUGUUUUCUGCAACUUUGAGGAAAGAAGAACUCAAAAGAAAGCUGAGGAAAUCCACUAGAUCAUUGAUUCUCCAAGUGCGGUCCACGGAUCCCUGGGCACUUUCGGGGGGUCCUUCAGGUUUUCCCUUUCCAACUGCACUUCUGUGGGAGGCCCGGCUUUUGUAAAUGUGUCAGCCCAACCAACAGACUACGACACAUUGAAGCAGAUGUGAGAACCCAGCUGUUAAAGAGAUUUGCCAACUAGAAAGCAAGACGUUAAAGAGAUGGCAAAAAUGGAAAAGCAC